UACGGAGGGUGCGAGCGUUGUCCGGAAUCAUUGGGCGUAAAGGGCGCGUAGGUGGCCCGGUCAGUCUUUGGUGAAAGCGCGGGGCUCAACCCUGCGUCGGCCAGGGAUACUGCCGCGGCUCGAGCACUGUAGAGGCAGGCGGAAUUCCGGGUGCAGCGGUGGAAUGCGUAGAGAUCCGGAAGAACACCGGUGGCGAAGGCGGCCUGCUGGGCAGUUUAGCUGACACUGAGGCGCGACAGCGUGGGGAGCAAACAGG
Molecule: ribosomal RNA, 256 nt
Filed under: uncultured bacterium
Lineage: Bacteria
Description: partial 16S ribosomal RNA
Rfam family: Bacterial small subunit ribosomal RNA
Source: RNAcentral